AUGCUCUCGGGGCGCCCUGCCCCCAAGCCUGCGGCCCGGCCCGCCCCACCUCCCCGCAGCCCCCGGGCACCGCUGCAGACCAGCCGGGCUGGGAGCACCGCGGGGAGGUGCGCGGGGGGCGGGGGCGGGGACGGGCGUCCCCCGGGACGCGGGCGGUCCCAGCCCUGGGCGCGCAGUCCGCAGCGGGGCACCCAGCAGCCCCGAGGGGCUCCCCGGGCGCCCAGCUCCGACGACGGGCGAGGCGGGCGUGCACCAGCUCCGCUGCUCGGCUCGGCUCGGCCCUGCGCUGGGAACUCGGGCGGGUCCCCACCUGCUUGGGCCCCUUCCUCCUUCCUUCCACAGGAUCUUCAUCAAGAGACCAUGAUGUUCCCAGGAAGUUGGCUAACUGCAACUGGUAUAAAGAAGCUGCAACCUACUCAAAUUACAUUGCAACUUGCCAGGAAUUAAGUAAUGGUUUCCUGGAAUUGGAGAGUACCAUGUACGCAGCAAUGUUUAUCUAACACCGUGCUGAAGAGUCUGGCCUCAGCUUCUGGAGGGCCAGCGGGGUUAUUGAGA
This 555-nucleotide long non-coding RNA is filed under the name Vulpes vulpes (red fox). Its description in RNAcentral is "lncRNA (ENSVVUG00000022053.1)". The record is from RNAcentral. Lineage: Eukaryota; Metazoa; Chordata; Mammalia; Carnivora; Canidae.